UGCAAUGGCUCAUUAAAUCAGUUAUCGUUUAUUUGAUAGUACCUUACUACAUGGAUACCUGUGGUAAUUCUAGAGCUAAUACAUGCUAAAAACCUCGACUUCGGAAGGGGUGUUUUUUUUAAAUAAAAAACCAAUGCCUUCGGGGCUCCUUGGUGAUUCAUAAUAACUUAACGAAUCGCAUGGCCUUGCGCCGGCGAUGGUUCAUUCAAAUUUCUGCCCUAUCAACUUUCGAUGGUAGGAUAGUGGCCUACCAUGGUGGCAACGGGUAACGGGGAAUUAGGGUUCGAUUCCGGAGAGGGAGCCUGAGAAACGGCUACCACAUCCAAGGAAGGCAGCAGGCGCGCAAAUUACCCAAUCCCGACACGGGGAGGUAGUGACAAUAAAUACUGAUACGGGGCUCUUUUGGGUCUCGUAAUUGGAAUGAGUACAAUCUAAAUCCCUUAACGAGGAACAAUUGGAGGGCAAGUCUGGUGCCAGCAGCCGCGGUAAUUCCAGCUCCAAUAGCGUAUAUUAAAGUUGUUGCAGUUAAAAAGCUCGUAGUUGAACCUUGGGUCUGGCUGGCCGGUCCGCCUCACCGCGAGUACUGGUCCGGCUGGACCUUUCCUUCUGGGGAACCUCAUGGCCUUCACUGGCUGUGGGGGGAACCAGGACUUUUACUGUGAAAAAAUUAGAGUGUUCAAAGCAGGCCUUUGCUCGAAUACAUUAGCAUGGAAUAAUAGAAUAGGACGUGCGGUUCUAUUUUGUUGGUUUCUAGGACCGCCGUAAUGAUUAAUAGGGAUAGUCGGGGGCGUCAGUAUUCAGCUGUCAGAGGUGAAAUUCUUGGAUUUGCUGAAGACUAACUACUGCGAAAGCAUUCGCCAAGGAUGUUUUCAUUAAUCAGGGAACGAAAGUUAGGGGAUCGAAGACGAUCAGAUACCGUCGUAGUCUUAACCAUAAACUAUGCCGACUAGGGAUCGGGCGGUGUUUCUAUGAUGACCCGCUCGGCACCUUACGAGAAAUCAAA
Molecule: ribosomal RNA, 1003 nt
Filed under: Aspergillus tamarii
Lineage: Eukaryota; Fungi; Ascomycota; Eurotiomycetes; Eurotiales; Aspergillaceae
Description: SSU rRNA
Rfam family: Eukaryotic small subunit ribosomal RNA
Source: RNAcentral